This 419-nucleotide ribosomal RNA is filed under the name bacterium. Its description in RNAcentral is "partial 16S ribosomal RNA". It matches the Rfam family "Bacterial small subunit ribosomal RNA", at positions 355 to 776 of the family's 1533-position model. The record is from RNAcentral.
UGGGGGAUAUUGCACAAUGGGCGCAAGCCUGAUGCAGCGACGCCGCGUGGGGGAUGAAGGCCUUCGGGUUGUAAACUUCUUUUGCUCUGAACAAGGCGCACUUUGGGGUGUGUUGAGUGUAGGGGUUGAUUAGCGCCGGCUAACUACGUGCCAGCAGCCGCGGUAAUACGUAGGGCGCGAGCGUUGUCCGGAAUUAUUGGGCGUAAAGGGCUUGUAGGUGGCUGGUUGCGUCUGUCGUGAAAGCUCAUGGCUUAACUGUGGGUUUGCGGUGGGUACGGGCUGGCUUGAGUGCAGUAGGGGAGGAUGGAAUUCCUGGUGUAGCGGUGGAAUGCGCAGAUAUCAGGAGGAAUACCGGUGGCGAAGGCGGGUCUCUGGGCUGUUACUGACACUGAGGAGCGAAAGCAUGGGGAGCGAACAGG